UGGGGAAUUUUGCACAAUGGGGGAAACCCUGAUGCAGCGACGCCGCGUGAUUUAGAAGGCAUUCGGGUUGUAAAAAUCUUUUCUAUGGGAAGAAAAUGACAGUACCAUAGGAAUAAGGACCGGCUAAGUACGUGCCAGCAGCCGCGGUAAUACGUAAGGUCCGAGCGUUGUCCGGAAUCAUUGGGCGUAAAGGGUACGUAGGCGGGUAAGCAAGUUAGAAGUGAAAUCCUAUAGCUCAACUAUAGUAAGCUUUUAAAACUGCUCAUCUUGAGGUAUGGAAGGGAAAGUGGAAUUCCUAGUGUAGCGGUGAAAUGCGCAGAUAUUAGGAGGAAUACCGGUGGCGAAGGCGACUUUCUGGCCAUAACCUGACGCUGAGGUACGAAAGCGUGGGUAGCAAACAGG
This 402-nucleotide ribosomal RNA is filed under the name bacterium. Its description in RNAcentral is "partial 16S ribosomal RNA". It matches the Rfam family "Bacterial small subunit ribosomal RNA", at positions 355 to 776 of the family's 1533-position model. The record is from RNAcentral.